This is a long non-coding RNA of Homo sapiens (human), 1287 nucleotides long. RefSeq annotates it as long independently transcribed non-coding RNA 2619. The transcript is spliced from 3 exons. Lineage: Eukaryota; Metazoa; Chordata; Mammalia; Primates; Hominidae. The record is from RefSeq and is marked validated.
AGAACUCGACAUGUAUAAUUCGACAGAUUUUCUCUUCCAACUGAUGUGAUGUAGCAAGAUGAGCAACAAAAGAAGAAUCCCAAGAUAAUCACGUAAUUAUGUUAGGAGAGAUUCUCAGUUCAAUCUAAUCCUGUCUAAACAGGCUGAAAGAAAUUAGUCACUCAGAAUUAUAUAAAAGGCUCUAUUGAGUCUUGCAAUGGUAAACAACAGACCCUGGAGUUUGAGGACAACACCAAGGUACUGCCAUACUUGAGGUGGAGAUGGCGUUUCUCAGGAUCAAUUCAACAAGAAGAGCUAACUAUCCUAAAUAUAUAUGCACCCAAUACAGGAGCACCCAGAUUCAUAAAGCAAGUCUUUAGUGACCUACAAAGAGACUUAGACUCCCAUACAAUAAUAAUGGGAGACUUCAACACCCCACUGUCAAUGUUAGACAGAUCAACAAGACAGAAAAUUAGCAAAGAUAUCCAGGAAUUGAACUCGGCUCUGCACCAAGCGGACCUAAUAAACGUUUACAGAACUCUCCACCUCAAAUCAACAGAAUAUACAUUCUUUUCAGAACCACACCACGCCUACUCCAAAAUUGACCACAUAGUUGGAAGUAAAGCACUCCUCAGCAAAUGUAAAAGAACAGAAAUUAUAACAAACUGUCUCUCAGACCACAGUGCAAUCAUACUAGAAUUCAGGAUUAAGAAACUCACUCAAAACUGCUCAACUACAUGGAAACUGAACAACCUGCUCCUGAAUGACUACUGGGUACAUAACAAAAUGAAGGCAGAAAUAAAUAUGUUCUUUGAAACCAAUGAGAACAAAGACACAACAUACCGGAAUCUCUGGGGCACAUUUAAAGCAGUGUGUAGAGGGAAAUUUAUAGCACUAAAUGCCCACAAGAGAAAGCAGGAAAGAUCUAAAAUUGACACCAUAACAUCAUAAUUAAAAGAACUAGAGAAGCAAGAGUGAACACAUUCGAAAGCUAGCAGAAGGCAAGAAAUAACUAAGACCAGAGCAGAACUGAAGGAGAUAGAGAUACAAAAAACCCUUCAAAAAUCAAUGAAUCCAGGACCUGUUUUUUUAGAAAAGAUCAACAAAAUUGAUAGACCGCUAGCAAGACUAAAAAGAAGAAAAGAGAGAAGAAUCAAAUAGACACAGUAAAAAAUGAUAAAGGGGAUAUAACCACCGAUCCCACAGAAAUACAAACUACCAUCAGAGAAUACUAUAAACACCUCUAUGUAAACAAACUAGAAAAUCUAGAAGAAAUGGAUAAAUUCCUCGACACAUACACUCUCCCAA